This 378-nucleotide unclassified non-coding RNA is filed under the name plant metagenome. Its description in RNAcentral is "partial contains 5.8S ribosomal RNA, internal transcribed spacer 2, and large subunit ribosomal RNA". The stretch from base 1 to 105 matches the Rfam family "5.8S ribosomal RNA", at positions 50 to 154 of the family's 154-position model. The record is from RNAcentral.
GAAAUGCGAUAAGUAAUGUGAAUUGCAGAAUUCAGUGAAUCAUCGAAUCUUUGAACGCACCUUGCGCUCCUUGGUAUUCCUUGGAGCACGCCUGUUUGAGUAUCAUGAAAUCUUCAAAGUAAAUCUUUUGUUAACUCAAUUGGUUUCUACUUUGGUAUUGGAGGUCUUUGCAGCUUCACACCUGCUCCUCUUUGUUCAUUAGCUGGAUCUCAGUGUUAUGCUUGGUUCCACUCGGCGUGAUAAGUUAUCUAUCGCUGAGGACACUGUAAAAGGUGGCCAAGGUAAAUGCAGAUGAACCGCUUCUAAUAGUCCAUUGACUUGGACAAUACUUUUAUGAUCUGAUCUCAAAUCAGGUAGGACUACCCGCUGAACUUAAGC